RNAcentral lists this ribosomal RNA (1369 nucleotides) under uncultured bacterium. Its description in RNAcentral is "bacterial SSU rRNA". It matches the Rfam family "Bacterial small subunit ribosomal RNA", at positions 28 to 1381 of the family's 1533-position model. The record is from RNAcentral.
GACGAACGCUGGCGGCGUGCCUAAUACAUGCAAGUAGAACGCUGAAGAGAGGAGCUUGCUCUUCUUGGAUGAGUUGCGAACGGGUGAGUAACGCGUAGGUAACCUGCCUUGUAGCGGGGGAUAACUAUUGGAAACGAUAGCUAAUACCGCAUAACAAUGGAUGACACAUGUCAUUUAUUUGAAAGGGGCAAUUGCUCCACUACAAGAUGGACCUGCGUUGUAUUAGCUAGUAGGUGAGGUAACGGCUCACCUAGGCGACGAUACAUAGCCGACCUGAGAGGGUGAUCGGCCACACUGGGACUGAGACACGGCCCAGACUCCUACGGGAGGCAGCAGUAGGGAAUCUUCGGCAAUGGGGGCAACCCUGACCGAGCAACGCCGCGUGAGUGAAGAAGGUUUUCGGAUCGUAAAGCUCUGUUGUAAGUCAAGAACGAGUGUGAGAGUGGAAAGUUCACACUGUGACGGUAGCUUACCAGAAAGGGACGGCUAACUACGUGCCAGCAGCCGCGGUGAUACGUAGGUCCCGAGCGUUGUCCGGAUUUAUUGGGCGUAAAGCGAGCGCAGGCGGUUUGAUAAGUCUGAAGUUAAAGGCUGUGGCUCAACCAUAGUUCGCUUUGGAAACUGUCAAACUUGAGUGCAGAAGGGGAGAGUGGAAUUCCAUGUGUAGCGGUGAAAUGCGUAGAUAUAUGGAGGAACACCGGUGGCGAAAGCGGCUCUCUGGUCUGUAACUGACGCUGAGGCUCGAAAGCGUGGGGAGCGAACAGGAUUAGAUACCCUGGUAGUCCACGCCGUAAACGAUGAGUGCUAGGUGUUGGAUCCUUUCCGGGAUUCAGUGCCGCAGCUAACGCAUUAAGCACUCCGCCUGGGGAGUACGACCGCAAGGUUGAAACUCAAAGGAAUUGACGGGGGCCCGCACAAGCGGUGGAGCAUGUGGUUUAAUUCGAAGCAACGCGAAGAACCUUACCAGGUCUUGACAUCCCGAUGCUAUUUCUAGAGAUAGAAAGUUACUUCGGUACAUCGGUGACAGGUGGUGCAUGGUUGUCGUCAGCUCGUGUCGUGAGAUGUUGGGUUAAGUCCCGCAACGAGCGCAACCCCUAUUGUUAGUUGCCAUCAUUCAGUUGGGCACUCUAGCGAGACUGCCGGUAAUAAACCGGAGGAAGGUGGGGAUGACGCCAAAUCAUCAUGCCCCUUAUGACCUGGGCUACACACGUGCUACAAUGGUUGGUACAACGAGUUGCGAGUCGGUGACGGCAAGCUAAUCUCUUAAAGCCAAUCUCAGUUCGGAUUGUAGGCUGCAACUCGCCUACAUGAAGUCGGAAUCGCUAGUAAUCGCGGAUCAGCACGCCGCGGUGAAUACGUUCCCGGGCCU